This 2103-nucleotide ribosomal RNA is filed under the name Triticum aestivum (bread wheat). Its description in RNAcentral is "partial small subunit ribosomal RNA". Lineage: Eukaryota; Viridiplantae; Streptophyta; Magnoliopsida; Poales; Poaceae. The record is from RNAcentral.
AUGGCGCUGGAGGCGGCGAGGGAGUGGGCGGCGUCCGUGCUGCCGCCGGAGCUGGCCGCGGCGGCGGGGGGCGACCCGCUGGCCGCGCUCGCGGCCACCGCGGCCGCGCUCCUGGCCGGGCUGCUCGUGCUCGCCUUCUGGCUCCGAUCCGGCGGGAGCGCGCCGCCCAAGCCGCCCCCCGCGUCCUUCCGCCCGCCGCCCGUCAAGGUCGACGCCGACGACGCCGACGACGGCCGCAAGCGCGUCACCAUCUUCUUCGGCACCCAGACCGGCACCGCCGAGGGCUUCGCCAAGGCUAUGGCGGAGGAGGCCAAGGCGCGGUACGAGAAGGUCCUCUUCAAAGUGGUGGAUCUGGAUGACUAUGCUGCCGAGGACGAUGAGUACGAGGAGAAGCUCAAGAAGGAAACUUUUGCGCUCUUCUUCUUAGCAACAUAUGGCGACGGGGAACCCACUGAUAAUGCAGCAAGAUUCUACAAAUGGUUCACUGAGGGUAAGGAGAAGGAGGUUUGGCUUAAGGAUUUCAAUUAUGCUGUAUUUGGCCUUGGCAACAGGCAAUACGAGCAUUUUAAUAAGGUUGCAAAGGAGGUGGAUGAGUUACUGCUGGAGCAGGGUGGCAAUCGUCUUGUUCCAUGUGGCCUUGGUGAUGAUGAUCAGUGCAUUGAGGAUGACUUCACCGCAUGGUAUGAAAAUGACGGAUGGUAUAAGAAAGAACUAGUAUGGCCAGAAUUGGACCAACUGCUCCGUGAUGAAGAUGAUACUACUGGUGCAACCACUCCUUACACUGCUGCAAUACCUGAAUAUAGAGUUGUAUUUAUUGAUAAAUCAGAUUUAGAGUUCGAAGAUAAAUCCUGGACACUUGCCAACGGCAACGGUGUUAUUGAUGCCCAACACCCUUGCAGGGCCAAUGUUGCUGUUCGGAAGGAACUCCAUAAACCAGCCUCGGAUCGCUCUUGCAUUCAUCUGGAAUUUGAUAUUUCAGGCACUGGUCUUGUGUAUGAAACUGGGGAUCAUGUUGGGGUUUAUUCAGAAAAUUCUAUCGAGACAGUGGAGCAGGCUGAAACGCUACUUGAUCUUUCCCCAGAUACAGUUUUCUCCAUACAUGCAGACGCCGAAGAUGGAUCUCCUCGUAAAGGCGGGGGUUCCUUGGCUCCACCAUUCCCAUCUCCUUGUACCUUACGGACUGCACUUCUACGAUAUGCUGAUCUACUCAAUGCUCCAAAGAAGGCUGCUUUGACUGCUUUAGCUGCUCAUGCUUCUGACCCGACUGAAGCUGAGCGACUGAGGUUCUUGGCUUCUCCUGCUGGAAAGGAUGAGUAUGCUCAAUGGAUAGUAGCUAGCCAGAGGAGCCUUCUUGAAGUUAUGGCUGCAUUCCCUUCAGCUAAGCCCCCCUUGGGGGUAUUCUUUGCGGCGAUAGCUCCUCGUCUACAGCCACGAUUCUACUCCAUAUCAUCAUCUCCAAAGUUGGCUCCCUCCAGAAUUCAUGUGACAUGUGCAUUAGUUUAUGGUCCUACACCAACAGAAAGGAUCCACCAAGGAGUUUGUUCGACAUGGAUGAAGAACACACUUCCAUUGGAAUAUAGCGAAGAGUGCAGUUGGGCACCAAUUUUUGUGAGGCAGUCAAAUUUUAGGUUGCCUGCAGAUCCAUCCACUCCAAUCAUCAUGAUUGGUCCUGGGACAGGGCUAGCACCUUUUAGGGGCUUCUUGCAGGAAAGAUUAGCUCUAAAAGAAUCUGGAGCUGAAUUGGGCUCGUCAGUCCUCUUCUUUGGAUGCAGGAACCGUGAAAUGGACUACAUAUAUGAGGAAGAGUUGCAAAAUUUCCUUCAGGAGGGGGCACUCUCUGAGCUAAUUGUCGCCUACUCUCGUGAAGGACCAACCAAAGAAUAUGUGCAGCAUAAGAUGGUGGACAAGGCCACCGAGAUUUGGAACGUCAUUUCUCAAGGUGGUUACAUAUAUGUUUGUGGUGAUGCCAAGGGCAUGGCGAAAGACGUACACAGGGUUCUCCACACAAUAGUUCAAAAACAGGGAUCUUUGGAUAACUCCAAAACUGAGCUGUAUGUAAAGAACCUACAGAUGGAAGGCAGGUACCUCCGUGAUGUGUGGUAA